This 208-nucleotide ribosomal RNA is filed under the name uncultured bacterium. Its description in RNAcentral is "partial 16S ribosomal RNA". It matches the Rfam family "Bacterial small subunit ribosomal RNA", at positions 568 to 774 of the family's 1533-position model. The record is from RNAcentral.
CACGUAGGCGGCGAUUUAAGUCAGAGGUGAAAGCCCGGGGCUCAACCCUGGAACUGCCUUUGAUACUGGGUAUCUUGAGUAUGGAAGAGGUAAGUGGAAUUCCGAGUGUAGAGGUGAAAUUCGUAGAUAUUCGGAGGAACACCAGUGGCGAAGGCGGCUUACUGGUCCAUUACUGACGCUGAGGUGCGAAAGCGUGGGGGAGCAAACA